RNAcentral lists this ribosomal RNA (468 nucleotides) under uncultured bacterium. RNAcentral describes it as "partial 16S ribosomal RNA". It matches the Rfam family "Bacterial small subunit ribosomal RNA", at positions 28 to 507 of the family's 1533-position model. The record is from RNAcentral.
GACGAACGCUGGCGGCGUGCUUAACACAUGCAAGUCGAACGGCAAGGCCCUGCUUUCGUGGGGUGCUCGAGUGCCGAACGGGUGCGUAACACGUGAGUAACCUGCCCUUGACUUUGGUAUAACUUCACGAAAGUGGGGCUACUAUAGGAUAGGAGACCCUGCUGGAUGGUGGGGGGUGGAACGUUUCGGCGGUCGGGGAUGGAUGCGCGGCUUUUCAGCUUGUUGGUGGGGUAGUGGAUUACCAAGGCUGUGACGGGUACGCGGCCUGGGAGGGUGACCGGGGACAAGGGUACUAAGGGAGGGAGCAGACGCCAACGGUGGGCAGCGGGGGGAAAUAUGGCACAAUGGGCGCAAGUCGGAGAAGGAAACGUCGCGGGCGGGAUGACGGUCUGUGGGGUGUAAACCGCUGUCGCCUGUGACGCAGCGUGAGUGACGGUAAUGGGUAAAGAAGCACCGGCUAACUACGUG